UACGUAGGGCCCAAGCGUUGUCCGGAAUCAUUGGGCGUAAAGAGCGCGUAGGCGGCUUGUUAAGUCUUGCGUGAAAUCUCGGGGCUCAACCCCGAGCGGUCGUGAGAAACUGGCAGGCUAGAGUGCGGGAGAGGAGAGUGGAAUUCCUGGUGUAGCGGUGAAAUGCGCAGAUAUCAGGAAGAACACCCGUGGCGAAGGCGGCUCUCUGGAACGCAACUGACGCUGAGACGCGAAAGCGUGGGGAGCAAACAGG
Molecule: ribosomal RNA, 253 nt
Filed under: uncultured bacterium
Lineage: Bacteria
Description: partial 16S ribosomal RNA
Rfam family: Bacterial small subunit ribosomal RNA
Source: RNAcentral